GGGGAAUAUUGCACAAUGGAGGAAACUCUGAUGCAGCAACGCCGCGUGAGUGAUGAAGGUCUUCGGAUUGUAAAGCUCUGUCUUCUGGGACGAUAAUGACGGUACCAGAGGAGGAAGCCACGGCUAACUACGUGCCAGCAGCCGCGGUAAUACGUAGGUGGCAAGCGUUGUCCGGAUUUACUGGGCGUAAAGGAUGUGUAGGCGGAUAUUUAAGUGAGAUGAAAUCCCCGGGCUUAACUUGGGGGCUGCAUUUCAAACUGGAUGUCUAGAGUGCAGGAGAGGAAAGCAGAAUUCCUAGUGUAGCGGUGAAAUGCGUAGAGAUUAGGAAGAAUACCAGUGGCGAAGGCGGCUUUCUGGACUGUAACUGACGCUGAGGCGCGAAAGCGUGGGGAGCGAAC
Molecule: ribosomal RNA, 398 nt
Filed under: uncultured bacterium
Lineage: Bacteria
Description: bacterial SSU rRNA
Rfam family: Bacterial small subunit ribosomal RNA
Source: RNAcentral